GCGCGGACCAGCGGUUCGCAGGACGCAUUCCAGAACCUCAACAACAAGUGGGGCUCUGACUGGGAGACCGCCACUGCGCCCAAGUUUCCCCUCGACAUCAACAUUAUCGGCGCAGACGGCGAGUCGGUGAGUCCCCUCGGCCGCCAGCUCACGCGCUGUGUUUGAAGGAUGCCUUCGAGUUCUGUGUGUAGAGAGUGGUACUGGUACUUGGCCAGAUGAAUACAUGUUUCAGGAUCUGGGCUGGGCAUUCUAGGGUGUACCGUUGUCUGCGUGAAGCACGGGGCUAACAUGCUGCAUGAGUGCAUAUAAUUUCUAUACGGCCUACCACUGCAACCGCCCACAUCCUCGAAAACAAAUUCAUGCAUGUAUGGUGCACAUGGCCGCGCAAUAUGAGUGAUCCUGCCUGUGCCAUGGUCAGGUGUCGGCGUACCAGGUGAUUUCCAGCGGAGGAGCCACGGGCAAGAUGCCGACGACGGUGCAGUUCAAGAUCUCCAACCCUGGAGACCAGGCG
This 511-nucleotide long non-coding RNA is filed under the name Coccomyxa subellipsoidea. Its description in RNAcentral is "long non-coding RNA (CSUB_LNC000234)". The record is from RNAcentral. Lineage: Eukaryota; Viridiplantae; Chlorophyta; Trebouxiophyceae; Coccomyxaceae.